Molecule: ribosomal RNA, 253 nt
Filed under: uncultured bacterium
Lineage: Bacteria
Description: partial 16S ribosomal RNA
Rfam family: Bacterial small subunit ribosomal RNA
Source: RNAcentral
CACAGAGGGUGCAAACGUUGCUCGGAAUUACUGGGCGUAAAGCGAGUGUAGGCGGAUAUGCAAGUCAGAUGUGAAAUCCCUGGGCUUAACCCAGGAACUGCAUUUGAAACUGCAUGUCUAGAGUAAUGGAGAGGAAAGUGGAAUUCCUGGUGUAGAGGUGAAAUUCGUAGAUAUCAGGAGGAACACCGGUGGCGAAGGCGGCUUUCUGGACAUUUACUGACGCUGAGACUCGAAAGCGUGGGGAGCAAACAGG